Molecule: ribosomal RNA, 486 nt
Filed under: Artemia franciscana
Lineage: Eukaryota; Metazoa; Arthropoda; Branchiopoda; Anostraca; Artemiidae
Description: partial 16S ribosomal RNA
Rfam family: Bacterial large subunit ribosomal RNA
Source: RNAcentral
GCUGGAAUGAAUGGUUUGACGAGAGAUGGUCUGUCUCUUCGAUUAAAUUGAAGUUAAUCUUUAAGUGAAAAAGCUUAAAUGUACUUGGAGGGCGAUAAGACCCUAUAGAUCUUUACAUUUAAUUCUUUUGUCUUGCGGUAGGUAAUUAGACAGAGUAAAGCAAUGUUCGGUUGGGGCGACGGUAAGAACAGAAUAAACACUUACAACAUAAACACAUCAAUAAAUGACCAUUGAUCCUUAGAUGAAUAAAGACCAAGUUACCUUAGGGAUAACAGCGUAAUUCUUUUUGAGAGUUCAAAUCGACAAAAGAGUUUGCGACCUCGAUGUUGGUUCAGGGACCCUACUCGGUGCAGCAGCCUAGAGAGGCAGUCUGUUCGACUGUUAAACCCCUACGUGAUCUGAGUUCAGACCGGCGUAAGCCAGGUUAGUUUCUACCCCCAAGGCAAAUCCACUCAUGAUAGUACGAAAGGACCUCUUGAGAUUUUA